This 5343-nucleotide long non-coding RNA is filed under the name Sus scrofa (pig). RNAcentral's name for it is "lncRNA (ENSSSCG00015069633.1)". Lineage: Eukaryota; Metazoa; Chordata; Mammalia; Artiodactyla; Suidae. The record is from RNAcentral.
GAUCUGAGACGCAUCUGCAACCUACACUACAGCUCACAGCAACACUGGAUCCUUAACCCACUGAGCAAGGGAUGGACCCACGUCCUCAUGGAUACUAGUAGGGUUCGUUAACCACUGAGCCACGAUGGGACCUCUGCAAAUGGUUUUUAAACUAUGCAGGCAGGAUUUCCUGUUGUGGCUCAGCGGAUUAAGAACCCAAACAGUAUCUAUGCGGAAGCCAGUUUGACCCCUGGCCUCGCUCAGUGGGUUAAGGAUCUGCACUGCCGUGAGCUGUGGUGUAAGUUGCAGACGUGGCUCAGAUCCCGUGUUGCAGCUCCAACUAGACCCCUAGCCUGGGAACUUCCACAUGCUGUGGGUGCAGCCCUAAAAAGCAAAAAUGAAUAAAUAAAAUCUGCAGGCCAAUCAGCACCUCUUACACAUGGUUCCAGGCUUCAGAACCAGUUUGGUACCUUUGACUAAGGAGAUAAAAUCCGAACGCCUCAGCCAGGGCCACUGAAAAAACUUCCCAGGUCUUUGCAGCCACCUUCAGAGGACAGUGCCAUUCUGUGGUAGUAAUCCAGUAACAACACUGCUGAACUCAGCAAGAAUUUGAUUCCUUCCACUGAGGAUACAUUUUCAUCUGUCAAGGAGAGGGAACUUGGUAGGCCGGAAACAGGAGCCCCCAUUUAGAAGUUGAAUCGUGUGUGUGUGUAUGUGUCCCAGGCUCCCAGGCUCAGUUCUGUGGCACGCCCAGUGUCCUUAUUCACAUGGCACCCAGGCUUCAGUGUCCCGGACCCCUGGCAUUCCCACGGGCUCACACCCACUGUCAGUCACUCACCCUCCCUCUUCCUGUUCCAACAGAGGAAAAUUUCUAGCAUGGAGAAACACAACUGGAUCAUGUUAACCAUCCUUUCCAGCUAAUGAAUCCUAGAAAGAAAUAUGUGUUUCUUGAGGUUCCAUGUGUCAAAGUGAAAUUUGCUUUGCUCAUAGAUGUUUCGGGAUAACUUAGGUAAAUCAGCAUUUCUGUUUGGAAAGUCAGUGUUUACCAGUCAACUGUGUAACAGAGUUUCAAUCUGCAGAGUCAGUUUCCAGGAUAACUGAAAAGUUAUGAUCUUUCAGUUGAGGAGGGUGGUGGUGGUGGCAGAGCAGAGCACACCCUGAUGUCUCACCACAGCCCAGAUGUGCUAUUAAGUGACUGUAGACUUUGGACCCAGCUCCGGAGUCUGUUUGGAGGUCAGUGGAGACAAUGCCACUUCCCAGGGCAGUGAGAGUGGAAGGAAACAUACAGAAGCUGCUGGACCUCCAAGCCCAAAACUCUUGACUGAAGCACUGAAUUAAACACCUUAAACCAUGUUUGAAAUUUGGAAUGUGUAAUAUUUAAAACAUGCUAUUUAGAAAAUGUUUUAUCUGUGGUGAUUUUUUUCCCCCAAAGAACUGUUGAAAAACAUUAUGUUGUUGAAUCCCCUCCCCACCUUUUUUUUUAGGGCUGAACCCUUGGCCUGGUAGGGAUCAAAUUGGAGCUGCCAGCCUACACCACAGCCACAGCAACUUGGGAUCUGAGCCGCAUCUGUGACCUACACUGCAGCUCAUGACAAUGCUGGAUCCUUAACCCACUGAGCAGGGCCAGGGAUCAAACUCACGUUCUCAUGGAUACUAGUUGGGUUCAUUACUGCUGAGCCACAAUGGGAAUUCCUGUUGCACCCUUGAUUAGAGGUUUUAUCCCCAUAGUUUUCCUGACUCAAGAGAGAAAAGGCUAUAAAAUUUUCACAAAGAAAGGUUAAGAGUGUCAAGGAACACAUCUGGAAAAAGGGAAACUUUUUAAAAAAAUGUGACUUAGAAGGUCCUUUUCUUCAUCUCUGUUUCUCAGGAGAGGUUCUGUUUCUGAGCCUAGGUAUUGAAGGAUGGACUCAGAGGCUGAGGCAGUGAUGUCAUUAUGUUGGUAAGAAUAGAUCUUUGCUGAGUAGGUGAGAGGUUGAGAUUUAAGAGAAAUUAGUCAAAUCGUUAUAGCGAAAACCAAUGGCCGAUCAUUUCUCACCUCGACCCAUAAAAUCAGAUUCAGAGUCACUGAGUGGUAUUAUAGCUGUAUCUUUUAAAGAGCUAAUUUUGUGCCUAUAAUAACUUCCAUAAUUAUACACAUUGGAAUAGUCAAAUCUCAGGCUUGGGGCCCAGCCAGCUAGUGGAGCCAUCAGAGGUGAUUUCUCCUGGAUGCGUCCCCACUGCAUGUGUAUUGAGUCUAGAGGUGGCGUCAAGGCUUGUCAGACCUGGGCUGCUGGGUUGGCAGGGCCACAGCUUUACACAAGGCAGCAAUUCUUUUAAAUCCUGUCCUCCUGCUCACAUCUGUCACUUAAGAGCAGUUUUACAGAGCAGGUGGCUCACUGCCCACAUUUUCUGCAAGACACACUUCUGGUACAGCUGCUGGGGAACAGCCCUGAGUCCACCUUUGGAGAGAAUGUGAACUGCAGCCCAAAGGUGAGAGCCUAACUUUGAGGAGAACUUGAGGUCAGGACAGGUGGCACUCAACGGAGGAAUUGUUCUAGAAACUAGAGGAAUACUCACUGUUGAAAAUGUGCAUUAGGGGCUUCUGGCAUAAAACAGCUCGGAUCUAGUGUUGCUGUGGCUGUGGUGUAGGCCAGCAGCUACAGCUCUAGUUUGACUCCUAGCCUGGGAACUUCCACAUGCUUCACAUAUGGCCCUACAAAGACAAACAAACAAACAAAAAUAAACUUGUUUAUGGUUCUUUCUUUCUCCUUCCUUCUUCUCUUCCUUCCUUCACCCCUUUUGCCUUUUUUUUUUUUUUUUUUUCUUUUUACAGCCACACUUGCAGCACAUGGAAUUUCACUUUCUUCAUCUCAGGAUUUGACUAUACACUGCAGAGAGACCCUGUAAAUUGGCCACAAGCUGAGGUCGCUGCCCAUGGGCUAAGAUUUUACUCUUAAAACCUUCUCAGACUUUGCAAACUCCAGGUCCGCUACCUGCCUGUCCAGAGUCUCCUCAAGUAUUUGUGGCUGCUUGGGCUCCACCCAGACCUCAAGAGGGGAACUGCAGAGGAGAGGUGGGGCGACAGGAGCUGGGGAGAGGGGGACUGAUAACCAUGCAUGCGGGGGUGGGGUGUGUGUGUGGGGGGGUGGAGAACUGAGCUUGACUUUGGGGUGGCAGUCUCAGGCCAUGGACGGGUCUGAACCUAUGCAGCUGGCCCCAGGGCUAGUUCCCCCUCUGGAAAGAGCCCCCUCCUUUGGGGAUAUGACUUCCACCCUACCCCUAGGACACAGAGGGAAACUGGGUGGCAAGGGAAUGAUGGCUACCCUCACAAAAUAAGACUUCCUGCCAACCCUUAAAGAACAAGUGUUGACCAUAACCUUGGAGCUUGUCUUUUCACCACAUGAUGUAAAUUCUUAAAGGGUUGGAGCAUAGCAAGUAAUCCACCAACUUUAAGGUUAUUAUUUACAAAUCCAUCUUAGAAAUUCUAAUCAAUUCCAUUAUAUGAGAAGAAUGUGCUGAAUCCCCAAAGUCACUUACUUUAAAAAUCCUUCAUAUUUGAAUGUUCAUCCUAACAUGUCAAUUACUGAAUAAACUAGGAACAUUAAAUUUUACUUUUUUCUUUUUAGCACCACACUAGUGGCAUAUUGAAGUUUCCAGACUAGGGGUUGAAUUGGAGCUACAGCAGCAAGUUUAGGCCACAGGCACGGCAACGCCACAUCUGCGACCUACACUGCAGCUUGCAGCAAUGCCAGAUCCUUAACCCACUGAGCAAGGCCAGGGCUUGAACCUGCAUCCUCACAGUUACCAGUUGGGUUCUUAACCUGCUGAGCCACAGUGGGCACUCCCAAUGUUAAAUUUUUUUUAAAGCUUGUGUACUUUGGGUUUUAAACAUCCAGAUUCUCAUCUUCAGGUAAGGUAAAUUUAUGCAUGUGAUUCCAGAAAAAAAGAACUGUAUUCAUUGUGGCAAUUCCUAUAUUGGAAUAACAUUGGCUUAUAUGCAGGGAUUGUUAUGUUACAUGAUAACUUCUAAAGAUUCUGCUUAAAGAAAUGUAAAUUUUAGGCUGACCUAACACUGUGUUUUUAUGAGUUUGGAGGAAAAGGUCCUACUAAUUGGUUCUCUGCAGUCAGAGAUUUCUGUCAAUUUUAGGAGGUAAUUCACAUGGCAAAUGUCAGAAAAUUGCUCACACACAUUCAAGGGAGGCACCACAGCUGGAGGCGUUAUGGGCUUAGGUUUGCCAAUUGUGAGUAUGUAACCCCAGGCAAGUGACCUAACAUUUCUAUCCCCCAGUUUCCUCAUCUGCAAAAUGUGGAAGAAGAAAAAAGAAAGAAGGAAGAAGGAAGAAGGAAGAAGAGGAAGAGGAAGAGGAAGAAGAAGAAGAACUUACCUCAACAGGUCCUUGGGAGAAUUAAACCAAGGAUCCGGGUUAAGGUGCUUAGAGCCCUUAGUGCCGAGAUGCUUGCUAUUGUUUGCUGCUAACACAAAGGUCUUCUAGGAGCCCGUGAGAGCAUGUGUAAAUUCCUGGGCCAGGGAUUGAACCUGUGCAACAGCAGCAAUCCAAGCUGCUGCGCUGACAAUGCCAUAUCCUUAACCUGCUGCGCCACAAGGAAACUCCAGCAAAUGCCUUUUUUAGGGAAGAGGGCAGCAGAAAGAUGGGGACAGGACAUCAGAAAAUGCUAUGAUUGUUUUUUAUUUUGACAAGAGUAACAAGGAAUCCCCCUACCACUCCGCUUCAUGUAAAAACACGUCUGGCAUCGUGAGCAGCAGUCCUCAGCGGAAGGUGACUGAGCCCCAGGAGCCCAGAAAGAAUCUUCAGCCACUGCUUCUGUGCUCCCUUCCUGUGUUCAGAGCCACUGGCCAUGACCACAGAUUCACCUUCUGAUUCUGUCUUGUUCUCUCUCUUUUUAUCUCUUUCAAGGCUUCAGUAAUACAGCAGAAGGAUCACUGUGUUGAAAGCAAGGACAAUCCUCAUAAGCAUAACCUUGGGGUGAACUCAGGAAGGCACACAAUAAAUUAAAGCAGACCCUGUCUCUUCGGAGGGUGUGCAGUGACCUCCAGGGUGGAGGCCAGAUCUGUCAGCACAGGUGUGGUGCUGGGGCCGCUGUGGGGAGGGGGAGCCCCUCCUUUAGGCAGUCGUGUGGCCCACAGGCCGAGCCAUCGGUAGGACCGAGUCCUCCCUUCUGCUCCUGCGCAGCCAGAAGGAGGAUGGUCCCCAUGGUGCUUGCUGGAGCCACAGCAGGGUUUGCACAAACCAUCUGGAUGGACGCCCCUCUUGAGCACUGGUGGCAAUUAGUCCACAGGACGCCCUCUACUGUUGACCUCAGUAAAUCACUUGGCAAACAUAAAACUGGAGGUUCUUGCUCAGUAAAACAAUAAAGUGCUUUUGA